UCGGCUCUCGCAUCGAUGAAGAACGUAGCGAAAUGCGAUACUUGGUGUGAAUUGCAGAAUCCCGUGAACCAUCGAGUCUUUGAACGCAAGUUGCGCCCGAAGCCAUUAGGCCGAGGGCACGUCUGCCUGGGCGUCUCGCUCCCCGACCCUCAC
This 153-nucleotide ribosomal RNA is filed under the name Adenocalymma pedunculatum. RNAcentral describes it as "5.8S ribosomal RNA". The stretch from base 1 to 136 matches the Rfam family "5.8S ribosomal RNA", at positions 21 to 154 of the family's 154-position model. From Rfam's summary of the family: 5.8S ribosomal RNA (5.8S rRNA) is a component of the large subunit of the eukaryotic ribosome. It is transcribed by RNA polymerase I as part of the 45S precursor that also contains 18S and 28S rRNA. Lineage: Eukaryota; Viridiplantae; Streptophyta; Magnoliopsida; Lamiales; Bignoniaceae. The record is from RNAcentral.